UCACUUUUGGAUGAGUGAAGAAGUGCAUUAUAUUAUUUGAAUUGAUUGUAUAAAGCUAUUUCAGAAAAUGAUCAGUCAUCACAGUAGAGCUUUUUUCUACAUCAUGUUCAACAACAGAGUUCAAAAGUGUGAAACCAAAAAUUUACAAGAUGAACUUAUUGAAACAGAAAUGUUUGAAGUACCACAGAAAUCCCUCUGUGAAGCACCACCUACUGUCAUGGUUUUAUUUGAGCAUUUGCUCCUCAGAUGUGGGUGGUUUAGUGAUGUCAUUUGAAUGCUGUCAUCUUUAACGUUUUCUUGUAUUCCUGCUAAAACUAAACUGCUAUGUGAAGGAUUGUGUUGGUGGUAUUGAAGGUUGUUGGUUUGAAAAUUAACAUUUUUUUCUUAUAAGCUGUCUCCCUGUGUAGCCUUGAGUUGGACUGGGGACUUGUCCAGGUUGAACCUUCCCCCUGAGCCAGCGGGAUAGGCAGCAGCCCCCCGCGGCCCAACAGAGGAUUGAGUGGUUUAUAGAUCACGCAUGCAUGGAAUUCUUAAUUACUGAAGAAAUAUGAUGAAGUUUUUGCUAAAAUAAUUGUUUCAAAACGCUGAACAUGGAAUGCAUUGUUAUUAGAAGUGGAUAUCUGGAUUGAAUUUAAUAAUGUAACAGAUUUGUAGAAUGUCUUUUUUAUAUUAUUCUAAUGUAUAAUUUUUCUGACAAGCAACCCUGUAUGUGCUUAAAAUGAAACCAAUAAACCAAAAGUUUUAUAAAGGACAUGAAAGACAUUUUUAAGUUGCUCAUUUCUUCCAAUUUCUUCCUUUCUUCCUCUCUCAACUCUCUGACUAGCGGAAGCGAGACAGCAGCCCAGCAGACCACCCGGAGCCUCCAGCCAAGCGGCCCUGCACCACCUCUGGCUCUCAGCGUGGAGGCGAGGAACCAUCCCGGCCGGAGGUACACGCUGCCCAGCCAGAAAGGAGCACCAGCCCCCAGCCGUCCACCUCUGGCACACAGCAUCACCCUGAAGAGCCACAGAUAAGUCCCAGCCCCCAACCGUCCACCUCAGACUACGAUUCAGACUCUGUCAUAGAUUUUAAUAUCGAUACAUGUUCAGAGUUAGAUUCAGAUGACGAGUCAGAUUCUCUUUUUGACUCUGAUUCCCAGGACGAGAGCCACAGCCCCCCGAUGUCCAACUCUGCUGUGGAGGAGGAGCUGGUCAUUUUGUUCAGCUACGAAGGUCUUUGGGCCGAGGAAAACGAGGGCCAGCCCGUCGUCCACUUCCCAUCUGGACUACCAGACGCCGAGGUUGUUGAGGUACUGGACUCGGUUUGGGACCACUGGGUUUGCUCUCCUUACACACGUGAGAUGUAGCUUUCCUUUCAGUGAGUAGCUGGUCACACAUAGGGCAUUUAGUGGCAUAUUCCAUCGCCACACACACACUUUUCCCCUUCCUUAGAGAAAUUGCAUGUUCAAAUUUUAAUGAUAAGUUUAGGAUCUUUGAUGUUAGGGACAACUCUUACUUUUCCUCCUUUAAAAAAAACCCUUUUAGAAACACUAAUGGUAAGGUUAGGACCCUCUAAGUUAAGGAUUUCUGAAUCUUUCUGUACAGCUCUACAUUUUCCUACUUUCAAAAAAACAAUAAAACGACAAAAAAAAACUCUUUACAGUGUAUAGACAGUAAUGGUAAGGUUAGGAUACUCUGAGUUAAGGAUUUCUCAAUCUUUCUGUACAGCUCUUUCUUUUCCUCCUUUAAAAACACACAAAAAAGCAAAAAGUAAAAAAAUAACAUCCUAUGUAGUU
Acanthochromis polyacanthus (spiny chromis) is the source of this 1774-nucleotide long non-coding RNA. RefSeq lists it as uncharacterized. The transcript has 3 exons. The record is from RefSeq and is a predicted model, not a curated record. Lineage: Eukaryota; Metazoa; Chordata; Actinopteri; Pomacentridae.